CCUACGGGAGGCAGCAGUGAGGAAUAUUGGUCAAUGGGCGCGAGCCUGAACCAGCCAAGUCGCGUGAGGGAGGACGGCCCUACGGGUUGUAAACCUCUUUUGCCGGGGAGCAACGGGCGCCACGUGUGGCGUCACUGAGAGUACCCGGAGAAAAAGCAUCGGCUAACGCCGUGCCAGCAGCCGCGGUAAUACGGAGGAUGCGAGCGUUAUCCGGAUUUUUUGGGUUUAAAGGGGGCGUAGGCGGAUCGUUAAGUCACUGGUCAAAUUGAGGGGCUCAACCCCUUCCCGCCAUUGAAACUGGCGGUCUUGAGUGGACGAGAAGUAUGCGGAAUGCGUGGUGUAGCGGUGAAAUGCAUAGAUAUCACGCAGAACCCCGAUUGCGAAGGCAGCAUGCCGGCUGCCGACUGACGCUGAAACACGAAAGCGUGGGGAUCGAACAGGAUUAGAUACCCGGGUAGUC
Molecule: ribosomal RNA, 460 nt
Filed under: uncultured bacterium
Lineage: Bacteria
Description: partial 16S ribosomal RNA
Rfam family: Bacterial small subunit ribosomal RNA
Source: RNAcentral